CCUACGGGAGGCAGCAGUGGGGGAUAUUGCACAAUGGAGGAAACUCUGAUGCAGCGACGCCGCGUGAGGGAAGACGGUCUUCGGAUUGUAAACCUCUGUCAUUGGGGAAGAAAAUGACGGUACUCACAGAGGAAGCUCCCGCUAAUUACGUGCCAGCAGCCGCUGCAAUACGUAGGGAGCGAGGAUUGUCCAGAAUUAUGGGGUGUAAGGGGAGCAUUGGCGGGAGAGAAGGAUGAGUGAUAAAUCUACCGGCUUAACUGGUAGCUGCUUUCAUAACUUCUUUUCUUGAGUGAAGUAGAGGCAGGCGGAAUUCCUAGUGUAGCGGUGAAAUGCGUAGAUAUUAGGAGGAACAUCAGUGGCGAAGGCGUCCUGCUGGACUGUAACUGACGCUGAGGCUCGAAAGCGUGGGGAGCAAACAGGAUUAGAUACCCGAGUAGUC
RNAcentral lists this ribosomal RNA (439 nucleotides) under uncultured bacterium. Its description in RNAcentral is "partial 16S ribosomal RNA". It matches the Rfam family "Bacterial small subunit ribosomal RNA", at positions 338 to 795 of the family's 1533-position model. The record is from RNAcentral.